Long non-coding RNA from Mesocricetus auratus (golden hamster), 1542 nucleotides. RefSeq lists it as uncharacterized. The record is from RefSeq and is a predicted model, not a curated record. NCBI's taxonomy places the organism in Eukaryota, Metazoa, Chordata, Mammalia, Rodentia, Cricetidae. The transcript has 3 exons.
CUACUGUAAGUGUGACUCGUUUAAACGACGUCGCACACCCACACAGGGAAGUAAUCUGCAGGCUGCCGUGGCAUAUACACUUGGAAGAAGCACCUAAAAUUUAGGAAAGAGUGGAGUCUUGCCAAUAGUUUGAUUGAUUUAAGUCGACUGAGAUCCCAAGAAAAAUAUUUGCCUAACCAGAACCUGGAAUCUAGGCCAAGAAAACUCAAAGAAAUCACCCCUGAUUGCAAUGAGUUCCAUCUCCAAUUUCUGUGACAGCAACUGAGAAUUAUGGCACAAGCAUUUACCCUCUUGUUCACAUCAAACUGUUUCUUCUGUUCUUGGAAUUAUUCAGAAGACAUGAACUCUGAGCAAUGCAGGCUUAAAGGACGCAGGCAAUUUCCAGUGAUGUCAAUGGUAGUGACCUCUUGUUCGUGAAAUGAACGCUUGACCCUUUACAUUCUAGGACCACUUUCAACACUGUUUUGAAGGAGAACAAAGCAAUGACUCAUGACUCAUAGGGUAAAGGAAUUUCAAAACUCCUAUACAUACUGAGAUUUUAUUCCAGUGUUAUUACAUAAUGUCAGGCAGGCAAAUAGAUACAAAAUUGUAAUUAGUUUUAAAGCAUGCAUCUCUUUAAUUACUGAAAUUCAUAGUUUGUGCUACCUAAUGAGAAAAAAAUCUAUCGGUUCUGUUAAUAUUCUUUUAUUCAGCACAAUUCAAUUGUGUUUGAUAAAGUUCAAUAGGGAAAGCUUUACUAUUUUUAACUUGGUAAAAAUAACAGGAGUUUAAGUAACAGUUGGCUACACAUCUCCUGCUCACAGAGGCUUCAUCUGGCCUCAGAUGGACAUACAGCUGAAUUGGCACUGGAUUUUACACUGACUCUAUCACGCUAUAAGUAUGUGUCAGAGAUGUCUCUUAAGAAAGCAGAGCAAUAAUACAGAGACCUGGAAACAUGGUUUCUGUCUUGUGAAUUUGUUCAUAUGGGAUUCAUAAAGAAAAAAUGAAAAAAUUUCAUUUCCAAUUCAGCUUUCCAAGCAGAGUAAUUUUUGUUUGUUUGUUUGUUUUUUCAAGACAGGAUUUCUCUGUGUAGCUUUGGAAUCUGUCCUGGGCCAGGCUGGUCUUGAACUCACAGAGAUCUGCCUGCCUCUGCCUCCCAAGUUCUGGAAUUAAAGGCAUGUGCCACCACCGCCUGACUUAGCCACCACCACCCAGCGUUCUCCAGGUCUUAUUGAUGAUGGUUCUUAUGUUUUAUAGAUGAUAAUAAUAAUACAAAUAAUACCUGUACAUUCAUGAUGAGAAGUUUGAAAUGUUUAUAUUUUGAUAUAUUUGAUAUACAUUUUGAUGUUGACACAUAGAUAAAUACUUCAUGUUUAUAAAUAUCUUGUGAUAUUUAUAUUAUAAUAUAUUUCAAGAAGACAAACUUUAUGUCUUCAUUUUAUAGAAAACUUCAGCUGUUAGCAACAGGAGACGCAACUGAAAUUUCAAUAUAUAAUUAUUUACUGAUGCAGGAUGUUGUGAUCUUGGCCUUUCAAUACUUAUGAAUAAAAUUUUCUUUAUUUC